Molecule: ribosomal RNA, 541 nt
Filed under: uncultured bacterium
Lineage: Bacteria
Description: bacterial SSU rRNA
Rfam family: Bacterial small subunit ribosomal RNA
Source: RNAcentral
UAAGGAAUAUUGGUCAAUGGAGGCAACUCUGAACCAGCCAUGCCGCGUGCAGGAAGACGGCCCUAUGGGUUGUAAACUGCUUUUAUACCGGAAUAAACCCUUUUACGUGUAGAAGGUUGAAUGUACGGUAGGAAUAAGGAUCGGCUAACUCCGUGCCAGCAGCCGCGGUAAUACGGAGGAUCCAAGCGUUAUCCGGAUUUAUUGGGUUUAAAGGGUGCGUAGGCGGCCUGUUAAGUCAGGGGUGAAAGACGGUGGCUCAACCAUCGCAGUGCCUUUGAUACUGACGGGCUUGAAUGCAGCUGAGGUAGGCGGAAUGUGACAAGUAGCGGUGAAAUGCAUAGAUAUGUCACAGAACACCAAUUGCGAAGGCAGCUUACUAAAGUGUGAUUGACGCUGAGGCACGAAAGCGUGGGGAUCAAACAGGAUUAGAUACCCUGGUAGUCCACGCCCUAAACGAUGAAUACUCGAUGUUAGCGAUAUACAGUUAGCGUCCAAGCGAAAGCGUUAAGUAUUCCACCUGGGGAGUACGCCCGCAAGGGUG